UGGCUUUUGUUGUAAUUCAGCUUCCUUAUAGGCUCUGGUUCGAAUACCACAUCUGCAUCUUUUAUCUCUUAAUUAUGUUUUACUGUUUUUUGACAUGUAUCCAAUUGAAGAGCAAGAUAAGUUUGUGUUGUAGAGUAAAAUUAGAAAGUUCCUCUCUCUAACUUUAGUAAUAGAAAGUUCUCUCCAGUCUUUAGAAACUUUUCUUCGACGUUUCAACAUUUUUUGGCCGGUGACGGGCGUUAAUCCGACGCUGGUACCAUGCUGUAUAUAUUUCUCGGAUGAAUAACUCUGUGUAUAUCUCUUCCCGUUUAUCGGAUUUGCAACUCCGACUUAGUUCGGUUUUAUCUUAAGUUCUAUUUUGUUUUUGUAUCUUUUUCUUCUGCAAGUUCUUCAAUCUCUUUCAGAGGAGAUAAUCCCAAGUGAUAUUCGUCUUCCAUGAACCAUUGGUUUGCUCGAUUCCUUGCUGGAGCAUCGUAAUUUCUUCAUAUCCCAUGUUGGGGCCGUAGAUCGGCUUUGGAUGAAGGUUUUUGUUCGGUGUGAGAGUCGUGAUGAUUGACAUGUGUCAACUGGCUUAAUUUGAACAGUUCCGGAGAGCGUGUUUUGCGAUGGUGUUGAUUAUCGGGCUUUGUUGUAUUUGUCCGUAACUCAUGGAUCUGGUGGAUUUGCGGAUUUCUGAUCCAUUCUACUUGGUGAAAAUUGCAGAAGUUAGAUGGUGAAGCGCAGCGGUGAGAUUCAUGUAGCCACGUAUUUGACACGUGUAGCCACGUGUUUUGGUUGUAAUUUUAAUCUUUGAGUUACAAAUGGGCUUAUCUGGGUUUGUACUGGAUUACAACUUCACCAUGUAAUUCUGGCUUUUGAAAAAUGGACAAAAAAAAAGAAAAAGAUAAGUAUCCAAUUGAAAAUUAAAAAGAUCUAAUUUCCUUUUUCUUUUUUUUUGUGGAGGCCAUUGAAGACGUCAUGGCGAGAAUUGUCAUCUUCUUCUCUCCUUCCAUUCUUCGUCACCAGAUUUCUGUUAUUUUGUCUUCCUAUUCAUUUGUUUUUUUAAUUCUUCUAUGAAUCUUUGAUUUCUCCUUUUACUUUUACUAAAAAUUAUUUGUGUUUUUACAAAAAUUUCUGUUGUUUAAAACAUAAAAUUUAUUAUUGGGUUUUAAUGCUCUCUGGUGC
RNAcentral lists this long non-coding RNA (1164 nucleotides) under Eutrema salsugineum. RNAcentral describes it as "long non-coding RNA (ESAL_LNC000705)". Lineage: Eukaryota; Viridiplantae; Streptophyta; Magnoliopsida; Brassicales; Brassicaceae. The record is from RNAcentral.